This 465-nucleotide ribosomal RNA is filed under the name uncultured eukaryote. RNAcentral's name for it is "bacterial SSU rRNA". It matches the Rfam family "Eukaryotic small subunit ribosomal RNA", at positions 614 to 928 of the family's 1831-position model. The record is from RNAcentral.
UGCUGUUAAAAAGCUCGUAGUGGGAUCAAGAGUCGGACAGUGCAAGGUGGUCCCAUUUGCGUGUGUGGCUCCGGUUUCAAUCGCGGUGGCGGAUCAACCCCUUGCGCCAAACUGUCCGCUCUAACAGGCCGCAACGGUUCCCUGUGAGUACGACCCUUCACGGGGUUCGAAAGCGCCUACGCAUCCACCAUAUGCAUACGGGACGUCGGCCAAUGAUACUGUGAACAAACCAUCGUAUCCAAAGCAGGCCUCCGCCUGAAUGUUCGAGCAUGGAAUAACAAGGGAUCGAUUCUCUCGAUUCUUUUUGUUGGUUUAACCCGAGAAGGAGUAAUUCAGGUCACGGUGUCUGAGUUGGGUACCCCUACUCUUCGGGGUAGGCCCCAAUUAGGCCGUGGCCUUACGGGUUCAAUAGGGACUGACGGGGCCGUACGUACUUCCGCGUCAGAGGUGAAAUUCUUAGAUCAC